GUCCUUGCUGUAACAAUGUAUACUUGAUGUAAUUAGGCUCAACCCUAAUUGUGUCGUAGCUAACGCGAUAAGUAUACCGCCUGGGAGUACGCUCGCAAGGGUGAAACUCAAAGAAUUGACGGGGACCCGCACAAGCAGUGGAGUAUGUGGUUUAAUUCGAUGCAACGCGAAGAACCUUACCUGGGUUUGACAUGCAAAUGACCGCCUGAGAGAUUAGGCUUUCCCGCAAGGGACAUUUGCACAGGUGCUGCAUGGCUGUCGU
This 262-nucleotide ribosomal RNA is filed under the name uncultured bacterium. RNAcentral describes it as "partial 16S ribosomal RNA". It matches the Rfam family "Bacterial small subunit ribosomal RNA", at positions 793 to 1055 of the family's 1533-position model. The record is from RNAcentral.